AAACGAGUUAUCUGAACCUUCGGGGAACGAUAACGGCGUCGAGCGGCGGACGGGUGAGUAAUGCCUAGGAAAUUGCCUUGAUGUGGGGGAUAACCAUUGGAAACGAUGGCUAAUACCGCAUAAUGCCUACGGGCCAAAGAGGGGGACCUUCGGGCCUCUCGCGUCAAGAUAUGCCUAGGUGGGAUUAGCUAGUUGGUGAGGUAAUGGCUCACCAAGGCGACGAUCCCUAGCUGGUCUGAGAGGAUGAUCAGCCACACUGGAACUGAGACACGGUCCAGACUCCUACGGGAGGCAGCAGUGGGGAAUAUUGCACAAUGGGCGAAAGCCUGAUGCAGCCAUGCCGCGUGUAUGAAGAAGGCCUUCGGGUUGUAAAGUACUUUCAGUUGUGAGGAAGGGGGUGUCGUUAAUAGCGGCAUCUCUUGACGUUAGCAACAGAAGAAGCACCGGCUAACUCCGUGCCAGCAGCCGCGGUAAUACGGAGGGUGCGAGCGUUAAUCGGAAUUACUGGGCGUAAAGCGCAUGCAGGUGGUUCAUUAAGUCAGAUGUGAAAGCCCGGGGCUCAACCUCGGA
This 570-nucleotide ribosomal RNA is filed under the name Vibrio sp. YZZY-F12. Its description in RNAcentral is "bacterial SSU rRNA". It matches the Rfam family "Bacterial small subunit ribosomal RNA", at positions 64 to 619 of the family's 1533-position model. Lineage: Bacteria; Pseudomonadati; Pseudomonadota; Gammaproteobacteria; Vibrionales; Vibrionaceae. The record is from RNAcentral.